AUGGGUGUAGUCUCACUUGCAUUCUUGGGAAGGAUUCUCAGAAGUAAAUCUUCAAGGAUCCGCUUCCCUGGUUGGUUCUAUUGGGGGCUUUUCAAUAACCCCAUUUCCUCUAUUCCAGCCCUACUCCCCAGCCCCAAGACUCCAAGAUUUCUGCUAAGCAGAUAUGACAUCUCCCAGCUCCCCAAAAUAGGGGGGAUUUGGAAUGUGUACAACUUGGUAGACAUAGACACAAUCAUAUUGAAACGCAUAUGGACAGAUUCUAAGUCAUUAAAUAAUUAUUGUCAUUGGUAUUACAUGGAUUGUUCAGUGCAAGUCAAACAGACUCAACCUGUACUUUCCAGGAGAGGAUGACUCUAUGCACUGAGUUUUAUGGAUAUUCAUCCAGAGAAGAGCAGAAGCCCCCAGAAAAGCCCUAAAAAUGCAGGAGAAGUAAUUUCUGGUCUGCGGAGAGCCCUAAAACUCCAGCUUGGUGAUUGUUGUUUAAAGUAUUCUGGAGAUAAAAAGAAGCAGAUAAACUAUACUACACUGUGUUGGAAAUUUAAUAUUAUCAUUUACUCCAUAUUCCUUAGUGGGCCUUGGGUUGGUAUGGCAUUUUAUUUCACAAACGGGGACCACAUAUACUACCAUGUACUGUAAAUACUCAUUAUAACCUCACAGGAGAAAAAUACUGUACCCACUGAAUACGUAAACAGCUGUACUGAGAAAUAGAAAAUAGUCUUUUAUUUUACCUCAGUGAUAGAAAAAUAGUCUUCAAAAAUACAUUGUUAAACUUACGGGUUUAUAUUAAAGUAGAAUUUGUAUGUACAAUAAGGCAGUACUUUCGUUGGCAUCCUGCUGUGAUUAUCUUUUAAAUUAAAGUUAGUCUCAUGGGAUUUCUUUUCCACUAACAGAAGACUAGGGUAUAUAAUAAAUUAUUUAUCAUGCUGAAAUGAAGCA
This 936-nucleotide long non-coding RNA is filed under the name Sus scrofa (pig). RNAcentral describes it as "lncRNA (ENSSSCG00070008368.1)". The record is from RNAcentral. Lineage: Eukaryota; Metazoa; Chordata; Mammalia; Artiodactyla; Suidae.